AUGAUGAUGGGCUGCAGUUUGGCUCCACUGGUCUGGUGUAGAACAGGAUCUCUGGAGGCUGUUUGCAACUGUGGUCACAAAAUUCAAUGUUCUGGGAGAAUUGGAAGCAGCUCAAUUUUUUUGGGGGCCCCUUACACAGCUCAAGGUCUGGGCCCCAGGGCCUGACGGUGAGUAUGCCCAUAAGGCCCACUCAUAAGUUCCACCCACCCAUGAGUUGGCUCACAGGGAGUGGAG
This 234-nucleotide long non-coding RNA is filed under the name Pelobates cultripes (western spadefoot toad). Lineage: Eukaryota; Metazoa; Chordata; Amphibia; Anura; Pelobatidae. The record is from RNAcentral.